Molecule: non-coding RNA, 32 nt
Filed under: Mus musculus (house mouse)
Lineage: Eukaryota; Metazoa; Chordata; Mammalia; Rodentia; Muridae
Source: RNAcentral
CCCUGUUUACAAUAGCCUCACAUCAUUUGUGC